AGUGAACGCUGGCGGUAGGCCUAACACAUGCAAGUCGAACGGCAGCACACUAAGAGCUUGCUCUUACGGGUGGCGAGUGGCGGACGGGUGAGGAAUACAUCCGAAUCUACUUUUUCGUGGAGGAUAACGUAGGGAAACUUACGCUAAUACCGCAUACGAUCUACGGGUGAAAGCAGGGGAUCUUCGGACCUUGCGCGGUUGAAUGAGCCGAUGCCGGAUUAGCUAGUUGGCCGGGUAAAGGCCCACCAAGGCGACGAUCCGUAGCUGGUCUGAGAGGAUGAUCGGCCACACGGGAACUGAGACACGGUCCAGACUCCUACGGGAGGCAGCAGUGGGGAAUAUUGGACAAUGGGCGCAAGCCUGAUCCAGCCAUACCGCGUGUGUGAAGAAGGCCUUCGGGUUGUAAAGCCCUUUUGUUGGGAAAGAAAAGCAGCAGGUUAAUACCCCGCGGUUCUGACGGUACCCAAAGAAUAAGCACCGGCUAACUUCGUG
This 492-nucleotide ribosomal RNA is filed under the name uncultured bacterium. RNAcentral's name for it is "partial 16S ribosomal RNA". It matches the Rfam family "Bacterial small subunit ribosomal RNA", at positions 29 to 507 of the family's 1533-position model. The record is from RNAcentral.